GGGCCCGUAGCUUAGAAUGGAUAGAGCGCUGGCCUCCGGAGCCAGAGGUCGUGGGUUCAAGUCCCACCGGGCCCG
This 75-nucleotide transfer RNA is filed under the name Candidatus Caldarchaeum sp. Its description in RNAcentral is "tRNA-Arg". It matches the Rfam family "tRNA". From Rfam's summary of the family: Transfer RNA (tRNA) molecules are approximately 80 nucleotides in length. Their secondary structure includes four short double-helical elements and three loops (D, anti-codon, and T loops). RNAcentral also lists the same sequence under 1 other name. Lineage: Archaea; Thermoproteati; Nitrososphaerota; Candidatus Caldarchaeales; Candidatus Caldarchaeaceae. The record is from RNAcentral.